This is a transfer RNA of Fonsecaea pedrosoi CBS 271.37, 115 nucleotides long. It matches the Rfam family "tRNA". From Rfam's summary of the family: Transfer RNA (tRNA) molecules are approximately 80 nucleotides in length. Their secondary structure includes four short double-helical elements and three loops (D, anti-codon, and T loops). The record is from Rfam. Lineage: Eukaryota; Fungi; Ascomycota; Eurotiomycetes; Chaetothyriales; Herpotrichiellaceae.
GACAGUUUGGCCGAGUGGUUAAGGCGGCAGACUCGAACGGGCCUCUUGAAAAUCCUUCUAGGCUCUCCGUUAUCUGCUGGGUUCGCCCGCACAGGUUCAAAUCCUGUAGCUGUCG